RNAcentral lists this ribosomal RNA (468 nucleotides) under uncultured bacterium. RNAcentral describes it as "partial 16S ribosomal RNA". It matches the Rfam family "Bacterial small subunit ribosomal RNA", at positions 28 to 506 of the family's 1533-position model. The record is from RNAcentral.
GACGAACGCUGGCGGCGUGCUUAACACAUGCAAGUCGAACGGAAAGGCCCUGCUUUUGUGGGGUGCUCGAGUGGCGAACGGGUGAGUAACACGUGAGUAACCUGCCCUUGACUUUGGGAUAACUUCAGGAAACUGGGGCUAAUACCGGAUAGGAGCUCCUGCUGCAUGGUGGGGGUUGGAAAGUUUCGGCGGUUGGGGAUGGACUCGCGGCUUAUCAGCUUGUUGGUGGGGUAGUGGCUUACCAAGGCUUUGACGGGUAGCCGGCCUGAGAGGGUGACCGGGCACCAUGGGGCCGGGGAUCCGCCCACGCCUCAUGGGGGGGGAGGGGGGGGGAAAUAUGGCAAAAGGGGGGAACGCUGGAUCCAGAACCCCCGCGGGGGGAAGGACGCCCUUCGGGUGGAAACCCGUUUUCGCUGGGGACAAAGCUGGAGGGCCGGUAUUGGUUAAAAAACCACCGCUUAACUCCGC